GCAAACUUGGUCAUUUAGAGGAAGUAAAAGUCGUAACAAGGUUUCCGUAGGUGAACCUGCGGAAGGAUCAUUAACGAAGCCAAUUUAUUUUGGCAUUAAUUCUUUCAAUUCUGUGAAUUUAAAUCUAUUGCUUUGGGUUGGUUUAAUAUAUUUUAAUAUAUUUUAGAUCGACCCAAUGUAUUUUUAAAAAAACUCUUUUUAUUUUUAAACCAAAUUGUCUGAACUGAUUUUAUUUAAAAAAAAAUUAAAUCAAAACUUUCAACAACGGAUCUCUUGGUUCUCGCAUCGAUGAAGAACGCAGC
This 302-nucleotide unclassified non-coding RNA is filed under the name uncultured fungus. RNAcentral describes it as "partial contains small subunit ribosomal RNA, internal transcribed spacer 1, and 5.8S ribosomal RNA". The stretch from base 1 to 73 matches the Rfam family "Eukaryotic small subunit ribosomal RNA", at positions 1759 to 1831 of the family's 1831-position model. The record is from RNAcentral. Lineage: Eukaryota; Fungi.